RNAcentral lists this transfer RNA (90 nucleotides) under Hellea sp. RNAcentral's name for it is "tRNA-Ser". It matches the Rfam family "tRNA". Rfam says of the family: Transfer RNA (tRNA) molecules are approximately 80 nucleotides in length. Their secondary structure includes four short double-helical elements and three loops (D, anti-codon, and T loops). Lineage: Bacteria; Pseudomonadati; Pseudomonadota; Alphaproteobacteria; Maricaulales; Robiginitomaculaceae. The record is from RNAcentral.
GGGUGGGUGGCAGAGUGGUUGAAUGCACCGGUCUUGAAAACCGGCAUGGGGGCAACUCCAUCGGGGGUUCGAAUCCCUCCCCGCCCGCCA